GAUGAAGAACGUAGCGAAAUGCGAUACGUAAUGUGAAUUGCAGAAUUCAGUGAAUCAUCGAAUCUUUGAACGCAUAUUGCGCUCUCUGGUAUUCCGGAGAGCAUGCUUGUUUGAGUAUCAGUAAACACCUCAACUUCCAUAUCUUUUUUGAAAUGGGAGUUGGACUUGAGUGAUCCCAACGCUUUUCCUCACCGAAAAGUGGCGGGUUACUUGAAAUGCAGGUGCAGCUGGACUUUUCUCUGAGCUAUAAGCAUAUCUAUUUAGUCUGCCUAAAAAACAGAUUAUUACCUUUGCUGCAGCUAACAUAAAGGAGAUUAGUUCUUGUGCUGACUGAUGCAGGAUUCACAAAAACGGCUUCGGCCGACUUUGUAAACUCGAUCUCAAAUCAAGUAAGACUACCCGCUGAACUUAAGCAUAUCAAUAAGCGGAGG
This 431-nucleotide unclassified non-coding RNA is filed under the name soil metagenome. RNAcentral's name for it is "partial contains 5.8S ribosomal RNA, internal transcribed spacer 2, and large subunit ribosomal RNA". The stretch from base 1 to 120 matches the Rfam family "5.8S ribosomal RNA", at positions 35 to 154 of the family's 154-position model. The record is from RNAcentral.